AUUGAACGCUGGCGGCAUGCCUUACACAUGCAAGUCGAACGGUAACAGGUCUUCGGAUGCUGACGAGUGGCGAACGGGUGAGUAAUACAUCGGAACGUGCCCAGACGUGGGGGAUAACGAGGCGAAAGCUUUGCUAAUACCGCAUACGAUCUAAGGAUGAAAGCAGGGGACCGCAAGGCCUUGCGCGUUUGGAGCGGCCGAUGGCAGAUUAGGUAGUUGGUGGGAUAAAAGCUUACCAAGCCGACGAUCUGUAGCUGGUCUGAGAGUACGACCAGCCACACUGGGACUGAGACACGGCCCAGACUCCUACGGGAGGCAGCAGUGGGGAAUUUUGGACAAUGGGCGAAAGCCUGAUCCAGCAAUGCCGCGUGCAGGAUGAAGGCCUUCGGGUUGUAAACUGCUUUUGUACGGAACGAAAAGGCUCUGGCUAAUACCUGGGGCACAUGACGGUACCGGAAGAAUAAGCACCGGCUAACUACGUG
RNAcentral lists this ribosomal RNA (482 nucleotides) under uncultured bacterium. RNAcentral describes it as "partial 16S ribosomal RNA". It matches the Rfam family "Bacterial small subunit ribosomal RNA", at positions 30 to 507 of the family's 1533-position model. The record is from RNAcentral.